RNAcentral lists this ribosomal RNA (492 nucleotides) under uncultured bacterium. RNAcentral describes it as "partial 16S ribosomal RNA". It matches the Rfam family "Bacterial small subunit ribosomal RNA", at positions 29 to 507 of the family's 1533-position model. The record is from RNAcentral.
AGUGAACGCUGGCGGUAGGCCUAACACAUGCCAGUCGAACGGCAGCACAGUAAGAGCUUGCUCUUACGGGUGGCGAGUGGCGGACGGGUGAGGAAUACAUCGGAAUCUACUUUUUCGUGGGGGAUCACGUAGGGAAACUUACGCUAAUACCGCAUACGACCUACGGGUGAAAGCAGGGGAUCUUCGGACCUUGCGCGAAUGAAUGAGCCGAUGUCGGAUUAGCUAGUUGGCGGGGUAAAGGCCCACCAAGGCGACGAUCCGUAGCUGGUCUGAGAGGAUGAUCAGCCACACUGGAACUGAGACACGGUCCAGACUCCUACGGGAGGCAGCAGUGGGGAAUAUUAGACAAUGGGCGCAAGCCUGAUCCAGCCAUACCGCGUGGGUGAAGAAGGCCUUCGGGUUGUAAAGCCCUUUUGUUGGGAAAGAAAAGCAGCAGGUUAAUACCCCGCUGUUCUGACGGUACCCAAAGAAUAAGCACCGGCUAACUUCGUG